This 350-nucleotide ribosomal RNA is filed under the name uncultured bacterium. Its description in RNAcentral is "bacterial SSU rRNA". It matches the Rfam family "Bacterial small subunit ribosomal RNA", at positions 356 to 721 of the family's 1533-position model. The record is from RNAcentral.
AGGGAAUAUUGCACAAUGGAGGAAACUCUGAUGCAGCGACGCCGCGUGAGUGAUGAAGGCCCUUGGGUUGUAAAGCUCUGUUCUAUGGGAAUAAGUUCUGAAGGUACCAUAGAAGAAAGGACCGGCUAACUUCGUGCCAGCAGCCGCGGUAAUACGAGGGGUCCUAGCGUUGUUCGGAAUCAUUGGGCGUAAAGCGGGUGUAGGUGGAUUUUUAAGUCAGAAGUGAAAGCCCUGGGCUCAACCCAGGAAGUGCUUUUGAUACUAUUGAUCUUGAGUGUGGGAGAGGAUAGCAGAAUUUCUGGUGUAGUGGUGAAAUACGUAGAUAUCAGAAGGAAUAUCGGUGGGGAAGC